This 468-nucleotide ribosomal RNA is filed under the name uncultured bacterium. RNAcentral describes it as "partial 16S ribosomal RNA". It matches the Rfam family "Bacterial small subunit ribosomal RNA", at positions 28 to 507 of the family's 1533-position model. The record is from RNAcentral.
GACGAACGCUGGCGGCGUGCUUAACACAUGCAAGUCGAACGGAAAGGCCCUGCUUUUGUGGGGUGCUCGAGUGGCGAACGGGUGAGUAACACGUGAGUAACCUGCCCUUGACUUUGGGAUAACUUCAGGAAACUGGGGCUAUUACCGGAUAGGAGCUCCUGCUGCAUGGUGGGGGUUGGAAAGUUUCGGCGGUUGGGGAUGGACUCGCGGCUUAUCAGCUUGUUGGUGGGGUAGUGGCUUACCAAGGCUUUGACGGGUAGCCGGCCUGGGAGGGUGACCGGCCACAAUGGGACUGAGAUACGGCCCAGACUCCUACGGGAGGCAGCAGUGGAGAAUAUUGCACAAUGGGCGGAAGCCUGAUACAGCAACGCCGCGUGCGGGAUGACGGCCUUCGGGUUGUAAACCGCUUUCGCCUGUGACGAAGCGUGAGUGACGGUAAUGGGUAAAGAAGCACCGGCUAACUACGUG